RNAcentral lists this ribosomal RNA (545 nucleotides) under uncultured Glomeromycotina. Its description in RNAcentral is "SSU rRNA". It matches the Rfam family "Eukaryotic small subunit ribosomal RNA", at positions 548 to 1098 of the family's 1831-position model. The record is from RNAcentral. Lineage: Eukaryota; Fungi; Glomeromycota.
UUGGAGGGCAGUCUGGUGCCAGCAGCCGCGGUAAUUCCAGCUCCAAUAGCGUAUAUUAAAGUUGUUGCAGUUAAAAAGCUCGUAGUUGAAUUUCGGGAUUAGUACGCUGGUCGUGCCUUCGGUACGUACUGGUGUUACUGAUUCCUACCUUCUGACGAACCAUCAUGUCAUUAGUUUGGUGUGGUGGGGAAUCAGGACUGUUACUUUGAAAAAAUUAGAGUGUUUAAAGCAGGCUCGCGCUUGAAUACAUUAGCAUGGAAUAAUGAAAUAGGACGUUGAUCCUAUUUUGUUGGUUUCUAGGAUUGACGUAAUGAUUAAUAGGGAUAGUUGGGGGCAUUAGUAUUCAAUUGUCAGAGGUGAAAUUCUUGGAUUUAUUGAAGACUAACUACUGCGAAAGCAUUUGCCAAGGAUGUUUUCAUUAAUCAAGAACGAAAGUUAGGGGAUCGAAGACGAUCAGAUACCGUCGUAGUCUUAACCAUAAACUAUGCCGACUAGGGAUCGGAUGAUGUUAUUUUUAAUGACUCAUUCGGCGCCUUACGGGAAAC